GUCCAUAACAAGCCCAGGCAGCUAUUCAAAUGCAAGUUGCAACCCCAAAUGCAAUGCAAGGCUAGCCUGAUCAAAAAGCCAUUCCGGAGCCCAGGAGAAGAGAGACCCGGGCUCUGGAUUUCAUCCUUCUCUCUUCUUCUUUCUCUUCGGUUCCUGAUUUAGCUGGGAGCUGUUUAUUUAUGGCUGCAAAUGUGUGCGUGCGAGAGAGAGGGAGAAUUGAUCUUUGCCUGGACUUAAAGAUGGAGACGAAGGCGCUGGAGGGAAUUUGGGUUUGUGCAUCUAGCUCAGACCCCAGGCGCCGAAGGGGGCCUUUUGGCACGAAACCCGAGGUUUCUCUUUUUCGCACCCCUCACCUCGCGACCUUGCAGGAAUACACGGGCCCCGAAGCGGCCUGGCUGACCCGCCUGCCCGGGGACGGGUUGCUGAGAAAGGCUUCAUGGAGGGAGCCAUCCCCGUCCCUUUCUUUAAAAUGAGCGCAAUAAAAGGGGGCAAAUCCUCAAGCGCGAACCUGAUCGCUUGUCACAGAAGCAACUUGCCAUGAAAUCCGCUAAUGCGCCGCGACUCGCCCACCAGGAUAGGCAAACCCCAGCGUUGGUGUAACCAGCGCAAGCGCGCGUCCUAUUCCUCAAAUGCUCGAUCUACCGGCCACACUACAGCCCACAGUGCUUUCUGGAAACCCCAUUUUCCUGAUUGCAGCCCACACUCUGGAACCUCGCAACCCAUCCGGGGUAAGGAGUCAGAUCUGGGCCAAGUAGUGGGUCGGACACAGACACAGAUACACACACACACACACACACACACACACACACACACACACACGGAGGUGGGGGUGGGGGGAGAAAGAGAGAGAGAGAGAAAGGCAGUGCUUCGUUGGAUGAGGAUCCAGGGUGGCUGGAUAGAGAUCUGAAAGGCCCUAGCUGGCAGGAGUCUUGCAGCCCUUAAAGCAGCUUAAUCCUGAUAGUUAUUUUGAGAAACAAGACCUGGAACCUAGGUUUGAGCUUAACAGGGCAGUGGCAAGGAAUAAAUGUCCCAGCAUUUAUUUGGAAUGAGGGACA
Molecule: long non-coding RNA, 1055 nt
Filed under: Sus scrofa (pig)
Lineage: Eukaryota; Metazoa; Chordata; Mammalia; Artiodactyla; Suidae
Description: lncRNA (ENSSSCG00070007777.1)
Source: RNAcentral